GCCAGCACACAAAGUGUCAAUGAAGGCAGUCAUGAUUCAUAGUUUUGCACUCGCUAACACGUUUAUCUCCCUUCAAUUCCUAGGAGGAAUUUACUGAAAUGUAGUUCAGUAAAUCAAGAGUUCUUGUAUCGCUUUAUAUGGGUUCAGCUAGUAAAAAUAAAAUAAAUGCCACUUCUCUAAAAAUUGGAUUACAUAUGAAACAAAGUAAACAAACUUUGGAUACUGAAAUAAUGAUUUCUGACUUUUUAAUAUAAUUGGGAUCACUGGCUUGAUGGUCAUUUAUAAUCAUCAAACUACAAAAACUCAUUGCAAAAAGACUUUCCACAGACAGCUGCACCUGAUCACUUUAGUGGAAAGUUGACUCAAAAAAAAAAAAAA
This is a long non-coding RNA of Poecilia latipinna (sailfin molly), 378 nucleotides long. RefSeq lists it as uncharacterized. The record is from RefSeq and is a predicted model, not a curated record. Lineage: Eukaryota; Metazoa; Chordata; Actinopteri; Cyprinodontiformes; Poeciliidae. The transcript is spliced from 2 exons.